CUUACUCCUAGGUUUGGACUGUCCUUACGAAUUGACUCAGAUAACAGGCCGGAGUUUGUGGCUGACUUGGUACAGAAGAAGCAAAGGCAUUAGGAAUCACUUGGAAGCUAAAUGUCACCUACUGACCUCAGAGUUCCGGAAAGGUGAUCAUGUGUGGAUCAAGGACUGGAAUGUAGCCCCUUUGCGGCCACGGUGGAAAGGACCUCAGACCGUCAUCCUGAACACCCCCACGGCUGUAAAGGUAGAAGAAAUCCCAGCCUGAAUCCAUC
This 269-nucleotide long non-coding RNA is filed under the name Homo sapiens (human). RNAcentral's name for it is "non-protein coding lnc-NOCT-10:3". The record is from RNAcentral. Lineage: Eukaryota; Metazoa; Chordata; Mammalia; Primates; Hominidae.